AGAGUUUGAAAGAUUUGUGAAGUUCAGUGAAGCAGGAAGACUCCUGAGAUAAAAUGAACUUAGUUAUAAAAAUAAUAGAGGCAAUUUUGGCAGAAGCAUAAAUCACAAAAGACUACAAGAAUUUGAAAGAAAAGUGUUAACAGUCUCCAACUUAACAGUAGUUCAAUUUAAUGAUUUUUCAACCUUACAAUGUUAUGAAAGCAAUACAUAGGCAUUCAGUAGAACUAUACUUAAGAUUUUGAAAAUGAUCUUUUCCUGGGCUAGCAGUAUGCCCUCCGAUCCUCUCUUGUGAUGCUAGGCAGAGCCAGUGAGCCACAGCUGCCCGGCAGCCCCAGGAUCACGAGGGUCAACAACCAACACACUCACAACUAUUGUACCCACACAGCCAUUCUGUUUUUCACUUUCAGUACAGUAUUCAGUAAUCAUAUGAGAUCUUCAGCACUUUAUAUAAAAUAGGCUUUCUGUUAGAUGAUUUUGCCCAGCUGUAGGCUAAUGUAAGUGUUCUGGGCAUGUUUAAGAUAGGCUAGACUGAGCUGUGACGUUCGGUAGGUUGACUGUGGAUUAAGUUUCAUCAGCAGCAACAAAAAAGGUAGCACUUUUCAAAUUUGAAUAUGCUUUUGAAGCACCUGAAGGACUUGAUAAAGCAAAAUUGCUGAGAACUAUCUGCAGGGUUUCUAAUUCAGACCCUGCCUGUUCUGAAGGGAAUGAAAAACCAUCAAAGGAAUGAUCUGAAGUGAAACUAUUCCAGGAAGACAGAGGAAAAGUCCCCCCCAUUUUCAGAACAUUUGCAGUUUGCAACAUAUUUUCAAUGCCUUCAGCCGUCUAAGAUACCAGAGAUGAUUCCUUGUAUUUCCCUGACUUUGCUUUAGGAAUCAUAAUGUUAAGAGGUUAAUGUGGUGCUCGCUUUUUGGUUUACUCAGUUUCUCUUACUUUUUCAGCCAGCAUAGGAAAGCAUCCAUAACUCAAGUUCCCCAAACCCAGCUGGCAUGCCUUUAAAGCGCUAGCUCUUAAAUUUUCUCCUCUCCUUCACUGCUUGUCAGUGUCGGUAUCAUAACUACCCGUACGCCUUCUUCCAAUUUACAUGUAGUCUCCUCUAAAAUGUGAGGGCUAGUCUGUCUCUUCCAUGUGCCCAAGUAGCUUAAAUAACUAGCAAAAAAAAACUGGAGAAUAGUCAUAUUGCGUCAGCUUAAGUUCAGAGUGAAGACUUCACUUAAAUAUAAGCCCAGCCUAUUUGGGUGUCCAAAGCUCUUUGGUCAGAGACGCCUGCUCUUCAGUCUCCAGCAACAUGAUAUAGUUAGACGUAAGUUUUCAGGGUUUUUGGUAGAUAUCCAUGCUUUACUGCUUUAUAGCCUCCUGGAUCCUCCCUGCCCAUGAAUAUUUGGAUAUCUUGACUCAGUCAUUAUAGGGCUAUGCUUUUAAAGGACUCAGAUAAUCUCACAGGCUGGGCUUUUAGCACAUCACCAGCCUCUGUCAUAUUUCAGACUCCAGUGCUUGCCAUUCUGGCAGCAUCUCAGGAAUGCUCCCCAACCACGAAUAAGUAGCACUUCCUGGAAUUAGCCCCAGUUUUCUGUAACAUCAUUUCUCAGUUAUAAAAAGUAUGGUUCCUCUAAGGGUCUGCCCUACUAUAUACUUAAUCUUUGAUCAUUCAAAAGAGGCUUUGCACUCAAAAAGGGACUUAAGUAAAAUGUAUAACGAAUCCCUCUAGGAGUUAAGCCAGCAUUUUAAAGAAAGCUACAUUAAGGUGUGUGGUUUGUAUGUCAUGUUACAUUCUUUUCACAUUUUCUUUCCAAGUGAUUCUUGGGGAAUACUAUAUGAUAGCAAUUACUAGUUUUCUAUUCUAACGUUCUUUCUUUUCUACUUUGUAAGAAGAAUGUGCAUGUAUUCCAGUCUGCCUAAGCAGAGUUGCAUUAAAUCUGUUGUUCCAGGAUAAUUCUUCAUAGUUUCACUAUCAAUAUAUGCUGGUACUAGAAUAAACUUUGUGUUUACUCUAUUUAUAAUAAAACCAUAGUUGAUCAGAAUCAAAACUAAAUUUCUCAGCCUCUCUUUCAAAUAAGUAAAUGCUCUGGACAAUAAUAUACAGAGUAUUGUGUGUGACUUCUAGGAAGCCACCUUGGAAACAAAAAAGGCACCCGCUUUGGCUUCAUUGUCUCCUGCUGCCAAUAUAGAAUAUAGAUAUGAUGACUAGCAUUUCAGCUGCCAUCUUGGAUCAUGAAGAAACUUGGGGAUUGAAGCCACGUGUGUUAGUUAAGGUGGAUUCUAAUAGCUAUGGCAAGGAGAAU
This is a non-coding RNA of Vicugna pacos (alpaca), 2279 nucleotides long. Lineage: Eukaryota; Metazoa; Chordata; Mammalia; Artiodactyla; Camelidae. The record is from RefSeq and is a predicted model, not a curated record.